UACGGGGGGAGCAAGCGUUGUUCGGAAUUACUGGGCGUAAAGGGCGCGUAGGCGGCCUGCUAAGUCGAACGUGAAAUCCCUGGGCUCAACCCAGGAACUGCGUCCGAUACUGGUUGGCUUGAAUCCGGGAGAGGGAUGUGGAAUUCCAGGUGUAGCGGUGAAAUGCGUAGAUAUCUGGAGGAACACCGGUGGCGAAGGCGACAUCCUGGACCGGUAUUGACGCUGAGGCGCGAAAGCCAGGGGAGCAAACGGG
RNAcentral lists this ribosomal RNA (253 nucleotides) under uncultured bacterium. RNAcentral describes it as "partial 16S ribosomal RNA". It matches the Rfam family "Bacterial small subunit ribosomal RNA", at positions 524 to 776 of the family's 1533-position model. The record is from RNAcentral.